UACGUAGGGUGCAAGCGUUGUCCGGAAUUAUUGGGCGUAAAGAGCUCGUAGGCGGUUUGUUGCGUCGGCUGUGAAAUCCCGAGGCUCAACCUCGGGUCUGCAGUCGAUACGAGCAAACUAGAGUGUUGCAGGGGAGACUGGAAUUCCUGGUGUAGCGGUGAAAUGCGCAGAUAUCAGGAGGAACACCGGUGGCGAAGGCGGGUCUCUGGGCAACACUGACGCUGAGGAGCGAAAGCGUGGGGAGCGAACAGG
Molecule: ribosomal RNA, 252 nt
Filed under: uncultured bacterium
Lineage: Bacteria
Description: partial 16S ribosomal RNA
Rfam family: Bacterial small subunit ribosomal RNA
Source: RNAcentral